RNAcentral lists this ribosomal RNA (856 nucleotides) under Pectobacterium carotovorum. RNAcentral's name for it is "bacterial SSU rRNA". It matches the Rfam family "Bacterial small subunit ribosomal RNA", at positions 132 to 983 of the family's 1533-position model. The record is from RNAcentral. Lineage: Bacteria; Pseudomonadati; Pseudomonadota; Gammaproteobacteria; Enterobacterales; Pectobacteriaceae.
GAUGGAGGGGGAUAACUACUGGAAACGGUAGCUAAUACCGCAUAACCUCGCAAGAGCAAAGAGGGGGACCUUCGGGCCUCUCGCCAUCAGAUGUGCCCAGAUGGGAUUAGCUAGUAGGUGAGGUAAUGGCUCACCUAGGCGACGAUCCCUAGCUGGUCUGAGAGGAUGACCAGCCACACUGGAACUGAGACACGGUCCAGACUCCUACGGGAGGCAGCAGUGGGGAAUAUUGCACAAUGGGCGCAAGCCUGAUGCAGCCAUGCCGCGUGUGUGAAGAAGGCCUUCGGGUUGUAAAGCACUUUCAGCGGGGAGGAAGGCGAUAAGGUUAAUAACCUUGUUGAUUGACGUUACCCGCAGAAGAAGCACCGGCUAACUCCGUGCCAGCAGCCGCGGUAAUACGGAGGGUGCAAGCGUUAAUCGGAAUGACUGGGCGUAAAGCGCACGCAGGCGGUCUGUUAAGUUGGAUGUGAAAUCCCCGGGCUUAACCUGGGAACUGCAUUCAAAACUGACAGGCUAGAGUCUUGUAGAGGGGGGUAGAAUUCCAGGUGUAGCGGUGAAAUGCGUAGAGAUCUGGAGGAAUACCGGUGGCGAAGGCGGCCCCCUGGACAAAGACUGACGCUCAGGUGCGAAAGCGUGGGGAGCAAACAGGAUUAGAUACCCGGGUAGUCCACGCUGUAAACGAUGUCGACUUGGAGGUUGUGCCCUUGAGGCGUGGCUUCCGGAGCUAACGCGUUAAGUCGACCGCCUGGGGAGUACGGCCGCAAGGUUAAAACUCAAAUGAAUUGACGGGGGCCCGCACAAGCGGUGGAGCAUGUGGUUUAAUUCGAUGCAACGCGAAGAACCUUACCUACUCUUG